GCCAGACUCCUACGGGAGGCAGCAGUGAGGAAUAUUGGUCAAUGGUCGGGAGACUGAACCAGCCAAGCCGCGUGAGGGAUGAAGGUACAGAGUAUCGUAAACCUCUUUUGUCAGGGAACAAAGGCGGGGACGUGUCCCCGGAUGAGUGUACCUGAAGAAAAAGCAUCGGCUAACUCCGUGCCAGCAGCCGCGGUAAUACGGAGGAUGCGAGCGUUAUCCGGAUUUAUUGGGUUUAAAGGGUGCGCAGGCGGGAGAUCAAGUCAGCGGUAAAAUGUCGGGGCUCAACCCCGGCCGGCCGUUGAAACUGGCAGUCUAGAGUUGGAGAGAAGUAUGCGGAAUGCGCGGUGUAGCGGUGAAAUGCAUAGAUAUCGCGCAGAACUCCGAUUGCGAAGGCAGCAUGCCGGCUCCACACCGACGCUGAGGCACGAAAGCGUGGGUAUCGAACAGGAUUAGAUACCCGAGUU
Molecule: ribosomal RNA, 464 nt
Filed under: uncultured bacterium
Lineage: Bacteria
Description: bacterial SSU rRNA
Rfam family: Bacterial small subunit ribosomal RNA
Source: RNAcentral